UAGUGUCUGUGUUCAUUGAUGGAGACUGGUUUGUUUGCUGUUGGAAUACAUACAAAGAACAUCCACAGUUAGGCUGCAAAGACAAAAAAAACAUCACAGCUGAGGAGCAAGUUCUGAUUGCUAAGCUGAAAAACAAAUCCAUGAUUAUUGGCUUGGGUAUACUCUUGGCUGGCUUUUUGGUGGUUAGCCUUGUGUUGCCACUUGGAUGGAAGAAAUGCUGUGAAAAGAACAAGAAAUGCUCAAGUUGCUGUGACAGAAAACUGCUAUAUGACCAAAUGAUUUUGGAGGAGGAAGAAAAU
Oreochromis aureus is the source of this 299-nucleotide long non-coding RNA. NCBI's taxonomy places the organism in Eukaryota, Metazoa, Chordata, Actinopteri, Cichliformes, Cichlidae. The record is from Ensembl.